AUCUCAAGGACACUUCGGAGGUUGCAGCUGCUCCCCCACGAAGGGCCUGCCUCCCUGUGUCUCACCUGAGAAAUGCGAGAGGACCGUCACUUUCCUCCUCCUGCAGCUGCAGGGAGAGGACGCCCCUCCCGGUGCGGGGCCGUGGGGGCGGGGACGGCGGGCAGGAGCCCGAGCUGGGGCGUGGGCGUCCGUGCGACUGCUGAGUCGCACCCAGGCGUUGUGAUUUUAGAAAACUUCAGAGUUCUGAGACAAAAGGCAGAACCGUCCGUCAAGAGCCGUGGUCCUUCAGAAGGCAACUUUACACCACAGCCGUGGGAUUCCGUGGGGAGGUCGCAGUGUGGACAGAAGACCCAGCAGUAGCACCAAAGGCUUCCGGACUCCUGAGAGGCCCUGGAGGGUGCAGCCUUCGGGAGGAGGCUGAGGCAAGCUGCCAUGUGAACAAGUGAACAAGUCCAUGUGAACAAGUCCAGCAACCUGCUGGAGGAUGAGAGACCACGUGGAGCAGAGAUGAGCCGUUCCAGCUGAGCCCCGCCCACAUUGAUGACACAAGAAUUAUGAACUAAAUAAAUGGUUGUUUGUUCCCACACAUCUGAGGCACAGGAAUUGUGUCCUUCAGUUUGGUGAAUUCUUCCAUCUGGAUGCUGUGGAAAGAAGAAUGUGCUUCCAUGAGAACCUGAUGAAAAGCAUUUUCCUCCUUCGAAUCAGGUGACUCAACUUUGGUGUCUUGCUAUAUGACCUCGGUGACACAGUUUCUAAAGUCUCUAAAAUGUCGCUUAUAAUCCACGCACCGGGGUUGGUGUGAGUCUUAAAUGUGACAGGAUAUGUGAGAGUGAUCUUUACGUUGUUAAGUACUUAACAAGUGUAAGUUAUUUUUAAAUAUAAAACAAUCUAUGAAGCUCUUUCUCCAAAGCAGCUGCACUGAUCCCCCCUUUGGAGAGUGUGGACGGCAAUUAAAGUCAGUUUACAAGCUUGUACACAUUCUUCACAGAAUUUGAGCUUGUUCCAACUUGUUUGUGCAGUUAAUUGGUGGCAUGGACUAUGCCAAAUGUACGUUUGUAAUUUUCUGCUUGCUGUGUAAGUAGUAGGAGUCACCCAGCUCACCGACGCUUAGGUAUUU
Molecule: long non-coding RNA, 1117 nt
Filed under: Equus caballus (horse)
Lineage: Eukaryota; Metazoa; Chordata; Mammalia; Perissodactyla; Equidae
Description: lncRNA (ENSECAG00000039060.2)
Source: RNAcentral